RNAcentral lists this ribosomal RNA (253 nucleotides) under uncultured bacterium. Its description in RNAcentral is "partial 16S ribosomal RNA". It matches the Rfam family "Bacterial small subunit ribosomal RNA", at positions 524 to 776 of the family's 1533-position model. The record is from RNAcentral.
UACAGAGGUCUCAAGCGUUGUUCGGAGUUACUGGGCGUAAAGGGUGUGUAGUCGGUUCUUUAAGUUUGGCGUGAAAUCUCCCGGCUCAACCGGGAGGGUGCGUCGAAUACUGAGGGACUAGAGUACGGGAGAGGAAAGUGGAAUUCCUGGUGUAGCGGUGAAAUGCGUAGAUAUCAGGAGGAACACCGGUGGUGUAGACGGCUUUCUGGACCGUAACUGACGCUGAGACACGAAAGCGUGGGUAGCAAACAGG